This 302-nucleotide ribosomal RNA is filed under the name Anophryoides haemophila. RNAcentral describes it as "partial Eukaryotic small subunit ribosomal RNA". It matches the Rfam family "Eukaryotic small subunit ribosomal RNA", at positions 7 to 309 of the family's 1831-position model. Lineage: Eukaryota; Ciliophora; Oligohymenophorea; Philasterida; Glauconematidae. The record is from RNAcentral.
GUUGAUCCUGCCAGUAGUCAUAUGCUUGUCUCAAAGAUUAAGCCAUGCAUGUCUAAGUAUAAAUAGUAUACAGUGAAACUGCGAAUGGCUCAUUAAAACAGUUAUAGUUUAUUUGAUAAUGGAAAGCUACAUGGAUAACCGUGGUAAUUCUAGAGCUAAUACAUGCAAAAAAACCCUGACUUACGAAAGGGUGCACUUAUUAGAUAAAGCCAACGCUGGGUAAAACCAGUUUCCCUUGGUGAUUCAUAAUAAUUUAGCGGAUCGCAUGGCCUUGUGCUAGCGACAGUCCACUCGAUUUUCUG